RNAcentral lists this ribosomal RNA (253 nucleotides) under uncultured bacterium. RNAcentral's name for it is "partial 16S ribosomal RNA". It matches the Rfam family "Bacterial small subunit ribosomal RNA", at positions 524 to 776 of the family's 1533-position model. The record is from RNAcentral.
GACGAAGGAUGCAAGCGUUAUCCGGAUUCAUUGGGUUUAAAGGGAGCGUAGGUGGUCUUCUAAGUCAGUGGUGAAAUCCUGUCGCUUAACGAUAGAAUUGCCAUUGAUACUGUAGGACUUGAGUAUAGUUGCCGUUGGCGGAAUAUGACAUGUAGUGGUGAAAUACAUAGAGAUGUCAUAGAACACCGAUUGCGAAGGCAGCUAACGAAACUAUAACUGACACUGAGGCUCGAAAGUGUGGGGAUCAAACAAG